GACGAACGCUGGCGGCGUGCUUAACACAUGCAAGUCGAACGGAAAGGCCCUGCUUUUGUGGGGUGCUCGAGUGGCGAACGGGUGAGUAACACGUGAGUAACCUGCCCUUGACUUUGGGAUAACUUCAGGAAACUGGGGCUAAUACCGGAUAGGAGCUCCUGCUGCAUGGUGGGGGUUGGAAAGUUUCGGCGGUUGGGGAUGGACUCGCGGCUUAUCAGCUUGUUGGUGGGGUAGUGGCUUACCAAGGCUUUGACGGGUAGCCGGCCUGAGAGGGUGACCGGCCACAUUGGGCCUGCGAUACGGCCCAGAAUCCUACGGGAGGCAGCAGUGGGGAAUAUUGCACAAUGGGCGGAAGCCUGAUGCAGCAACGCCGCGUGCGGGAUGACGGCCUUCGGGUUGUAAACCGCUUUCGCCUGUGACGAAGCGUGAGUGACGGUAAUGGGUAAAGAAGCACCGGCUAACUACGUG
RNAcentral lists this ribosomal RNA (468 nucleotides) under uncultured bacterium. RNAcentral's name for it is "partial 16S ribosomal RNA". It matches the Rfam family "Bacterial small subunit ribosomal RNA", at positions 28 to 507 of the family's 1533-position model. The record is from RNAcentral.